CUGAUUUCCUUCGUGUUUCCAUUUUCUUCAUAUAGCACAAAAAAGUACUUGUGGUUAUGCUUGAGAAUGAGCACCAUACCGUUCACCGCCGCCACACCGGGUCGUUCAACGACACAACCCGAAGUAGUUCGACGUCGCAGCUCGGGAGGCACACACUUCACCCCUCCAUCCCAGGAGAGCAGUACAUCUUGUGCGCGAGCAGUCUGUUGUUGAUGUACACUGCUGCUCUAAGCUCCUUGGCCACUACUCCAGUAUGUCUAGCAUCGUCCCCAGUCCAGCCCCAUGGCAUUUGGACGGUCGAGUUCAUGCCGAGCAGCAGUCCACGCCCAUCAGCUCCUAUUUCCACUAUAGUGGUUGGGUUGCCGUUUUCCUCAUCCUUCUCGGUGCGCGACAACCCAGCCCACAUGUUGCUGUCGUCCGCCACCCCAAAUAGCUUUGGCUCUUCCUCAAGCAACCAUUUGGAGAACCUUUUGGUGUUUUUCUACUGGUGAUUGAUUUUAGCAAUUUGUAGCUAUCUUGCGUAUGAAAUCUGAAAGUUCAAGAUUGCUGCAGAUUCAAUUCUUGCAGUACAAAUGUCCCAGAGUUUAGUGACAUCUGUAAUUGAGGUACUAUGGUCUUGCAUCUCCAAUGUAUGUUGCUGAGCAUCCUCCCAAUCCGCUCGAUCAACUUCUUAUUCCACCUCCAAAAAAAAUUCUUUUUGAGUUCUAUCCUUCGUCACAGGUUCACCGCUAUUACCUCAGUGCAAACGUGCCAAAGAGUUUAGUUCAGACUAUACUAAAUGUCCAUAUUAUAGAUAAUAUUUGCAUUGUCUUAAAUUUCUGGAAACAAGCUUCAGUACAAGAAAAAUGGGCCAGUUAGUUCAUCCAUAUCCAAACCCCCGUCGACGUGCGGCGGCAGGAAACAUUUUCAGGUAUUUCCUUAAAUACUUCGGUCUUGUGCAGCUGGUACUAGUGUGAAUGGGUAGCAAGUUCAACUACCAAUCCACACCAAGUUCAGACCUCUUAUUGGAAUUGGGCCUGCCCCAUGAUCCGGCGUCGCCCUCCGCUGCCUCAGCACGCAGGCCGUUCACCUUCACCACCCCAGGCCGUUCACCACCACCACCAGCGCCCGUUCAAUGCUGCCCCAACAACCCAGUGCGGCUUUGUCUCUCUCAACUUAAAAAGCGGUUCAGCUCAGUGCAUGUCAAACAUUAAAGCAAUAUUCUGUAGUAGCUUCAAAAAAUGCAAAUGGUCAUGUUUCCACAAGACUGACGAAACACUGCCAAUUAAACUGAGCACUAGCGGAACUGUGAAGCACUGACGAAACACUACCAAUUGAAUUGAACGUUGACCACGUCUCCACCCUCCCCACGCCGCCACCGCUGCGACCACCCCUCCCCCUCACGAUUUCUCGUUGAUAUCGCUGUAUUCAUGUUUGUUACGUGAGUUGCCUGAUGGAAGUUCUGCAACUGUCAGUCCAGAUGGAAGAAGGAGAUCCGUCCAAAGUGUGAGUUUUGCGACGUCGACGUGCAAGUUCUACAAUUUAUCUGUCCAGAUGGGAGAAGGAGAUCAAUCCAACCGAUGCAUCUGAAGCGACAUAUGCAGAGCCAUUCUCCUGAGAGCCAAAUCCUGGCGCGCCCAGCCGCUGCUCGUGAACCCCGCCUCCAUCAGCUCCACUUCACUGGAGUCGUCAGUCCACAGGAAUAGGGGUAGUGGAUCCCCUAUAGCGGCCAAAUCCCGGUGCGCCCAGCCGCUGCUUGUGAACCUCGCCUCCAUCAGCUCCACUUCACCAGAGCCGCCAGUCCGCAGGAGUAGGGGUAGCAGGUUCACCCAACGUCCGACGCCUUCUUCCAUCUCCAAAAAUCUUGUUUUUUGAGUUCAGUUCUUUGUCACAUGUUUCACUAGCUAAAAAAUGCAUGGUGUUCUGAAAUUGCUUGCGGACCACUAGCUGAAAUUGCUUGACGAACAAAAGCAAAGGGCCCAAACCCACUGUCGUGCAAGAAAAAGAAAGCAAAGCCCCAACCAUCAGCUCCUCAAUCAUCAGAACUAAUAGUAAGAUGGAGAAGAGAUAAUGCAACAAAAAUCUUAGAUGGGGCAGUCAAGUCCAUUGCGCAUUCUGAUUUUUUGUAGCUCCGGACAUCAGUUGUAUUGAGACAUGGAUGGCUCUACACCUGAAGCACAUAUAUCUGACAAGCAUGAUCACAUGUUCCCUUCGGAGUCUGAUGGUCGAUGGAGAGGCGAAGCGAAAGACGGUUAGGAAGCACGAGAGAAGUGGCAAAGACAGUAGGUCCAUGUGUAUUUAACAGCAAGUCCAUGUAUUACUACAUGAGAAGUACUGCUAGUGAGACUUCACUGCCCCAUUUCAACAAACUUGUAUACGCAAUCCUAGUUUGACAAAGUACUCUACUGCUGCUGGUUUCAGUUCCCUCACUGGAUUUGCAGGCUCCCGACCAUCCUCCAACACCCCGUCAGUGCCACUGAUUUGAAGGACCUCUGUGAGCGUGUACUUCUCCUGCACGAGAGAGGUUUGGACGGACGCUGAUCACUAGCUCUUAUGACGCCGCCGAUCACUAGAACGAAGGACACCAGCAGGUUGAGAAUGAAGUACAUGAGGCAGACAAUGAGGACGACCAAAACAUGGAAUCCGUACACAUAGCACCAACUGCAAAUUCGAACUUUCUGUCUAUGAUGAUUUGAUUGCUACUUCUUAAAGAAAGUGUACAUAAUAGUUAGAUGUUUGUGCUAGAAAGGAAAACUUGUUUGAAUUAAAAUCAUUGACCAGUACGAAUCAAAAACAUUGAUAAGUUCGAUA
Molecule: non-coding RNA, 2790 nt
Organism: Triticum urartu
Lineage: Eukaryota; Viridiplantae; Streptophyta; Magnoliopsida; Poales; Poaceae
Source: RefSeq, a predicted model, not a curated record